Molecule: ribosomal RNA, 318 nt
Filed under: uncultured Pantoea sp.
Lineage: Bacteria; Pseudomonadati; Pseudomonadota; Gammaproteobacteria; Enterobacterales; Erwiniaceae
Description: bacterial SSU rRNA
Rfam family: Bacterial small subunit ribosomal RNA
Source: RNAcentral
UUGGCUCAGAACGAACGCUGGCGGCAGGCCUAACACAUGCAAGUCGAACGGCAGCACAGAAGAGCUUGCUCUUUGGGUGGCGAGUGGCGGACGGGUGAGUAAUGUCUGGGAAACUGCCCGAUGGAGGGGGAUAACUACUGGAAAUGGUAGCUAAUACCGCAUAACGUCGCAAGACCAAAGUGGGGGACCUUCGGGCCUCACACCAUCGGAUGUGCCCAGAUGGGAUUAGCUAGUAGGUGGGGUAAUGGCUCACCUAGGCGACGAUCCCUAGCUGGUCUGAGAGUGAUGACCAGCCACACUGGAACUGAGACACGGUCC